CCCAUCCCUCUCUCGCCGAAAACAGCGCAUCCCCUCCCCUCCCCGCUCCUAUCCUCUCUCGCAGAAAAAACAUCCCAUCCCUCUCGAAGAAAACAACGCCGUCCGCCGCCCAUCGCUCUCCACCGCGUCGCCAUUGUCCCCUUCGUCAGCCGCCCCAUCGCCAUCCAUCCCCCCGGUCCCCUCAACCCUAACCGCGCUACCUCAACCGGUCGUCGCCGCCGCCUCACCCUGUGCCCUCGCCAGAUCGAUGCCGCGAUGCCCUGCCUCCUCGCCUUGGAGCAUCUCGCGCUGGAUCCCGCAGGUCGCGCUCCUAUCCACGGCCACCGCGGAACGAUCUGCGACUGACGAUUGCGAUUUGGAAAAUUUAUGGAAUGCUAAUGACCACGGCAAUCAGCAAGGAGGCAAUUGCCCAGUUCUUCUUUGUGGAUUCCUUCCUUUAAUCUGAACAAAAAGGACUCAGAGCUGCUAUGCUGAGUUCAUCAGAGGUAUAUGUGUGGCAAAUUCCACUCUCUAUAUUUGUCUAAUCAUUUUCUAGGUAAGCUGUAAGUAAUCUGCUACGAUGAAGUCAUGCUCACAAUGAACAAUCAUUACUGUGUACUCAGGCUCACUAAAAUUUGAUGGCUUUUGCAUCUGCAAUAUUUUAAUCCUUAUGCUCAUGCAACUUAACCUUUCAUAUCAGUGCAGUACAAUCCAACUUUUGAUUAUUGAUACGUAUAAUCUUGAGUUUUCAACUGAUCAAUACAAGAACCUUAAUUGUAAGUCUCAUCUUUUGCACUUGACUCUGUGUAUACAUUAUAUAUUGACUAGGAACAUGGAAAGUUUCAAAUUGCUGUCAGAUAUAUGUUUCCUAAGUUUGAUGAUUUGAUUAAUCUUGCAGCUAAUAAUCACCAUUGAUCUCAGCUAAACACCUCUUACAUAAUUGUUUAGCGGCUAUUUAUCUAGAAUGUAAAAAGCAAAAAAAAAAAGGCCUUGUUUAAUGGCACUAACUGCACAUUGGUAAUGUAUCAUACUAUUAGGUAAAUAUGUACUGAUGUACUUUACACUCCUAUUAUGCAAAUGCUAAGUUACAAUAUGUACUUUACACUCUAUUAUGCAUGUUAUAAAACCAGCCCCGAAAUCAACAUCGGUAGCUAAACACGGAAGAAAACGCCAUAGGAGAUCCAAAAUGAUGACGACACCGAGGCACGAUAUUUGAUAAUGGAGUUCAGCCGAGGCUUACAUCUCCGGGGCACUGAUUACGGGCGCUCCUCCCCGAUCCAGCAUAUACAGCGUAUCAGAGUUACAACGACUCACGGCCGGUCGCCGCCGGCAGCCGCUUCCUCUCGCUAUGCUAAGUCGCCAUGUGAUUACAACAGGCACGCCCCUCUAUUUAUGAGAGAUCCUAGGAUAGAGUUCGACUCUUACUCUAAUCCUAAUACCUAUUACAACUGCAAGUCCUAAACUGUAACCGACUACGUACACAUAUUCGACACAAACUCUAACAAACUCCACCUUGGCGAAUAUGCCAUGCCAACCUAAAUUUGUUCCAUGCGCGAACCUUCGUGUACCAGGACUUGAGUUGAUCCUUUUUCGCCGCUCACGCCGAGCUGCCCCGACGAACCUUCACCAGGCUCACCGUAACAAGAGACUCCCGCUAUCCCUGCAAGUUCUUCCUCUUGACUCCACCUGCAACAGUGCUCCACCUUCUCUCAUAUCACCACAGUCGUCUUGCCAAGCGAAAUUGGAUUUCUUCCUAGCUGUCACAUCAUAGACUCCCGAAGACCAUGUUCAACUUCAUCUUCUGUCUUAAAUUUGACUUGAUCUAAUCCAUGGCCAGAUAACUGACGUCAUCACCAAAUAGAUAAAUCAAACUCACCAGACAUAAAGUGAAUCCUUUCUUCCUUGUUGUCUUAUGAACCGAGCUAAUAAAUCCAACAUCCACACUUCUCCGCAUCCGUAGACUGUAUAUCUGAUGCUCUAGGCAUAUAUCUUUUUUGAACACAUAUUUUUUACAAGAGGGAGUAGUUAGCAGGUGAUAAACUGAUAACGAGAUAGUAACAAGGCAUGGAUGAAGCUUCAUUUAAGACUGUAUAGUACCUUCGCCACACACAACCGUCGUUCAAGCAAGCGUCGCCAUCGUCAUAGAGCGAGCGAAUGGUGGGUUCAGGGUCAGUGCCGAGGCGGCUUGUGCUGACCAAUGGUGUCACCGCUGCUGCCAUCAUCACCGUCACCGACCUCUUCUCUCAGAGCGAUCUACAGAGCAAGAUUUAUACUUCUGCUUUGACGAACAAAUUAUUAGGAGUGUCAUAGGCCGAUUCCAAACAGGUGAUGCGAGAGCGUUUUGAUUCGUUAGAGUAUCUUCAUUGCUCUGCCAGAAGUUAUACUUCUGCUCAACAAAAGAGUUUGGCAAGAUUUGAACGGUUGGUUGUACAUAACAUACCAAUUGAUUGACGGGAUGUACCCAGUUUGGAGCCCAUAUAACUUGUGUAUUUCUUAUUUGCAAUUAAUCCCAACACUUAAAGAUGGUGUUGAAAUGGUCAUGUUUGGCGUGUAUCGAGGUUAUAAAUUAGUGGAGUUGUAUUAUGCUUUCAUGCUGCUACUGAGAAAUCAAAUUGAUGUAUGAUAUUUUAAAACUUUGAAAUAUAAAAUCGCAUUGUAAAUUGGUUUCAA
Molecule: non-coding RNA, 2649 nt
Organism: Oryza sativa Japonica Group (Japanese rice)
Lineage: Eukaryota; Viridiplantae; Streptophyta; Magnoliopsida; Poales; Poaceae
Source: RefSeq, a predicted model, not a curated record